AGAGUUUGAUCCUGGCUCAGGACGAACGCUGGCGGCGUGCUUAACACAUGCAAGUCGAACGAGGUCCAUGGUGCAGCAAUGCACCGGAAGACCUAGUGGCGAACGGGUGAGGAACACGUGAGAAACCUGCCCCGGACUCCGGGAUAACAGUUGGAAACGACUGCUAUUACCGGAUGCCGUCGCGGAGUGGCAUCACUCUGCGACGAAAGAACCUCGGUCCGGGAGGGUCUCGCGGCCUAUCAGCUAGUUGGUGGGGUAACGGCCUACCAAGGCAUCGACGGGUAGCUGGUCUGAGAGGAUGAACAGCCACACUGGGACUGAGACACGGCCCAGACUCCUACGGGAGGCAGCAGUGGGGAAUCUUGCGCAAUGGGCGAAAGCCUGACGCAGCAACGCCGCGUGCGGGAAGAAGGCCUUCGGGUUGUAAACCGCUUUCAGCAGGAAAGAAAAUGACGGUACCUGCAGAAGAAGGUGCGGCCAACUACGUGCCAGCAGCCGCGGUGACACGUAGGCACCAAGCGUUGUCCGGAUUUAUUGGGCGUAAAGAGCUCGUAGGCGGUUCAGUAAGUCGGGUGUGAAAACUUUGGGCCUAACCCAAAGCCUGCACUCGAAACUGCUGUGACUAGAGUUCGGUAGGGGAGCGGGGAAUUCCUGGUGUAGCGGUGAAAUGCGCAGAUAUCAGGAGGAACACCGGUGGCGAAGGCGCCGCUCUGGGCCGACACUGACGCUGAGGAGCGAAAGCGUGGGUAGCAAACAGGAUUAGAUGCCCUGGUAGUCCACGCCGUAAACGUUGGGCACUAGGUGUGGGUCUCAGCUAACGAGAUCCGCGCCGUCGCUAACGCAUUAAGUGCCCCGCCUGGGGAGUACGGUCGCAAGACUAAAACUCAAAGGAAUUGACGG
This 900-nucleotide ribosomal RNA is filed under the name uncultured Actinomycetes bacterium. Its description in RNAcentral is "bacterial SSU rRNA". It matches the Rfam family "Bacterial small subunit ribosomal RNA", at positions 8 to 916 of the family's 1533-position model. The record is from RNAcentral. Lineage: Bacteria; Bacillati; Actinomycetota; Actinomycetes.